CGAAGAGUGAAAGACUUAAAAAACUUACGGCCACUAAAAAAGUGAUAAAUUGUCCAAAGCUGUCGCGAAAAAGUGAAUUCACGGACAAGAUGACCAGCUGUGGUAAAGUGAACCUGAUUCCAUGAGAUGAACCUAGUGAACCGAGGUGCAGUAAUCUCGACGUACCUCUGUUCAGGUUUAGACACAUUGAAGCAUGCCUCAAAAACUAUUUAGCCAAUUUAUCAUAUGAACAGUGGAUGGCAUUAGCCACUGAUGACGUCACCUCGGAUGUCGUUAAUUUGCUGACCAACAUGUGCCAAGCACUCAUAGGGCACAUUAGCACCUUAGUGUUUCAAGGCAUAGAACCACAGGUUUCAUGCUGCCCACAUAUUCAUUAUCCCAGAGACAAAGAAAUCCCCCCUUACAGGUAAACAGUUUGAUUCAUUCUUAAUUUCUUCUUCUUAAAUAAUCUACAUUAGAUGAUUCAUUAGGUAAUCCUUGUGACGGAGAGGGUUUUUGUGAAAAGAUUUUGUUUAUUAUUCAAAUAUGCUUUGCUUGUGAUUGUGUAAACUCUGAAUGACGAUUCACCCUGAUAUGCUUUGCUUGUGAUUGUGUAAACUCUGAAUGACGAUUCACUCUGAUAAACAUGAAGCCUUGCCUAUGCUUAUCAAAUGCCUGUGAAGACAAUUUCCCCCGACAGUUUUUGUUCAGGGUUUAAAGAACAACAGAAUUGCUUUGUAUUGCCUUUUAGAAUAUUUUACAUCUAGUGUGAAGUCAUCCAUAUGAUUUAUUUUCAUGAAUCCUGUAGAUUUUGACACAAUAGUGAUACUGUGGGAAAAUGACUGAAUACCUGACUAAAUUCUCUUUUCAGGAUGAAUAUUGAACCUCUGCUUGAUGGGUGCAGUUACUGCAGGGUGACAGAGGAUGAUAUUCAGGCCAGCCUCAGAAACAUCUUUGAUAAAUGUUUCGGUCGGGCCUUGGGUGUUGCGCAACAGCGGUCUGAUAACUCAGACACACUACUGACUUUAUUUUCAGUGUAGGUUGCAAAGAACGUAAACUCAGCCCUGAGUCAUAUCACAGGGUCCACAUCCUUGCAAUCAGAUGAAUCCACAUCCCUACCAAAUUUUGUUGGGAUGGUUUAUAAUGUAAUGAACAUUUUACAAGUCUGUGCAAAGACCUUAGCCACCCCCUCUGUAGAUAGUCCGAAGACCAGCUACAGCAGUGUUGAAUUGCCAGACUUUGGGGAAGAUAGACAAACUCUACCUUUUGUAGGUAAGGGAAAUUUGGGUAGCAAGGGCAAGAGUCGUACAUUUGAAAUCACUGAUGUCAAAAAUCUUCACAGAGAGUGAUGAAAAAUGUAACUUGAAACCAGAAAGUAGUGAUGCCCCGCAAUGUUCGUUUGGGAUUGUGCCUUUUCAGCUUCCUAAGUCUAAAGGUGAUGAUAAUUUUCUCAUUUUGUGUCUUGUAAAUUUAGUCACUCACAUUUCUGUGAAAACACAUACAUCUGCUGUAAAGUUAAAUUUUCUGCAGAUAGUGGCUGAUAUAAGAGAGAAAAUUGGGGGAGACUUGACUCCUCUAAAAACUGUAAAAAACUUGUACAUCAUAAUGUACAAAGACCUGUGUCGCAAAUUUGGAUCCAAAUAUGUGCUUCAGUUUGUAAUGGAAAAGGGUGAUGUGACUUUUGUGGCAGCUGUUGUGGAGACUUUAAAAGCAGAGCUAAAAAAAAAUCAGGCAGCUCCAAUAACACACGGAACAUUUUCAAAAGGAACAGAAAUGUUGCUCCUGCCUGUGAGAACAAAACAAAAGAAUCUGGCAGUGACAAAAAUGUAAAAAACAGAUUCACAGGAAAACAGGCUGAGCAACCGUAUCAUUAGGGCCUUCUCUUCUUUUUUUAGUAGUUUGAGGAGGGUAUUCUUUUGCUGCAUAAGCAGUGAAUCAGAAACAGAAUAAUUAUCUUCACAAUUAAUUAAUGCAUGCUCAAUCAUCCAGGUAAGUCAGUCCCAAAAUGUGGAUUCUGUUCAUCAGGACGUAGCAUUUUCUCCCACUGAAAACGCUACGUCCUGAUGAGCAGAAUCCACCUUUUCUGUUCAUCUGGACGUAGCGUUUUCAGUGGGAGGCGAUAUUCGAUCCAGUAAUUUACGUCAGUAUCGGACCCAUACGUAAUAUCGGAUCGGUCCAUCUCUGGUAUUUAAAUCAGUGCGUCAGCAUUAAAAGUGCCAAAGUUCAUAGAAAAUCACACCUCACUCCGUCCACUUAGACCAUAUUCUGUAAAAGGUAUCCCUUUGCCUACUUAUUCCUCCAUUUCUUGUGACUUCAACUGUAUUUUGUACUAUCUCCAGUCUCCCUUUCACUUCAUUAUCUCAUGCCAUUUUCCAUAAAUUCUUACUUUCUUUCCAAACUAUACUUUUGCCUUCAGAUUUAUACAAUGGUAUCUGUAUAUCAAUAUUUACUUUUUUGUUAGCUUCCUUAGCUAUUAAAUCCACUUGAAAUUCUACUAUCUUCCAUCCAAUCUAAAGCCAGUAUUAUGGCAUAUAACUCUACCAGAUGUACACUAAAAAACAAUCUAUGUUCUUCUUAAAAUUUUGAUAUUUAAUUCAGGAAUGACAACUGCCACACUAGUUGUUUCAGUUUUUGGAUCUUUAUAAAUCUGCAAAUAGUCACUGUACUUUUUCUCCACGCUAUUAUACAAUUCUUGACAAAUAUCUGUUGUAAUUCAUGUCUUCUUAAUAUCUGAUACUGAUCUAUCUACAUUAAUGUAUUUCCAUGUAGACCUUAAAGGCCACAAUACUGUCUGAUUAAAUUCUUUGUCAUAUACUUUAAAUGCUCUAGCUCUAUUAUCCCCAACCCACCCAAAACUAUUUUUAAAAUCUUUUCUCUUUCCAACAAUUUCUAACACUUUCUUAACACGAUGACUUUUAUUAUGACCUUCCAAAUGUAUCCAGUCAUUUACCUUUAACUGUUGCCUUCUAAAAUGGUGGCACUUCACCUGAUUCUACUUGUAGGACACAUAUUGGUGUGGCUUAAACUGCCCCUACGCAAAGUCUCAGUGGCUGAACUUGGAUAAUAUCCAAGUUUUAGCCGCUGACCAAUAUACCAUACACCUAUAAUCUAGUCUUGAGUGAAUUAAUGUGACAUAAAUACUUUCAAGCGCAUCAAAAUUUGCAACCCCAUGUCAACCCUGCUAAACCCCUUAUAAUAUUAAGUACCUUUUUACUUUUCCCCAUAAUGUGCUCUGUGAUUUUUCCAACUUAAUUUCUUAUCAAAAACUAGACCCAAAAAACCGAAACCAAUCAACCCUUUCUAGCCCUUUCCCAUACUAGUAUAACUGUUUACUUUCUCCUAUUUUUUUUUUUUUUUUUUUUUAUUUGUGGAAAAACAUGACUUUAGUUUUCUCGACUGAAAAUUAAAAAACCCCAUUCUACACCUCACUUUUCCACUUUACCUAUCCCCUCCUGGAGUUUCUUAAUGAGAUGGUCUACAUUUCCCACCCUUACCUAUAAUGCUCCAUCACCAGCAAAAAGUGAUUUACUAUAAUUUACAGACAGAUCUUUAAAAAUACCAUUGAUCAUAACUGAAAAUAAUGUUGGGGUUACUACAUUUCCUUGAGGAGUUCCAUUUUCUAUUUCGCACGGCUCUGAAACAUGUGAUCCUAUUU
This is a long non-coding RNA of Oreochromis aureus, 3634 nucleotides long. RefSeq lists it as uncharacterized. The transcript has 3 exons. The record is from RefSeq and is a predicted model, not a curated record. Lineage: Eukaryota; Metazoa; Chordata; Actinopteri; Cichliformes; Cichlidae.